CCGUGCAAAGGUAGCACAAUCACUUGUCUCUUAAAUCGGGACCUGUAUGAAUGGCAUCACGAGGAUUUAACUGUCUCCCUUCAUCAAUCAGUGAAACUAAUCUCCCUGUGAAAAAGCAGGAGUAUAAAUACAAGACGAGAAGACCCUAUGGAGCUUAAAACUAAUAACACUUGCUCUUUAUUCCCUAUUCCAGAAUAAUAAUCUUAUAGCACCGUGAUUAUAAGUUUUUGGUUGGGGUGACCAUGGAAAAAAACUAAACUUCCAUGCUGCUUAUUAAAUUUAAGAACUUCAUUUCUACAAAUCAAUAAAUUGACAUAAUUGACCCAAAUACUUGAUCAACGAACCAAGUUACCCUAGGGAUAACAGCGCCAUCCACUUCAAAAGCACAUAUUAACAAGUGGGCUUACGACCUCGAUG
RNAcentral lists this ribosomal RNA (417 nucleotides) under Craugastor aenigmaticus. RNAcentral's name for it is "partial 16S large subunit ribosomal RNA". It matches the Rfam family "Bacterial large subunit ribosomal RNA", at positions 1946 to 2531 of the family's 2925-position model. The record is from RNAcentral. Lineage: Eukaryota; Metazoa; Chordata; Amphibia; Anura; Craugastoridae.